Molecule: microRNA precursor, 90 nt
Filed under: Manihot esculenta (cassava)
Lineage: Eukaryota; Viridiplantae; Streptophyta; Magnoliopsida; Malpighiales; Euphorbiaceae
Description: precursor microRNA miR156a
Rfam family: mir-156 microRNA precursor family
About the family: This family represents the plant microRNA (miRNA) precursor mir-156. Animal miRNAs are transcribed as ~70nt precursors and subsequently processed by the Dicer enzyme to give a ~22nt product. In plants the precursor sequences may be longer, and the carpel factory (caf) enzyme appears to be involved in processing.
Source: RNAcentral
GUGACAGAAGAGAGUGAGCACUUAUGGUUUUCGUGCAUGGAUCUUCAUGCUUGAAGCUAUGUGUGCUCACUCUCUAUCUGUCAUCCACCU